GCCUCCCGACAGGCCUGUGUGGCCGGUGGCGGGCGGGCCGUUACCUCCCGCGCAUGCUCUAUGGGGUAGAGACGCUAGGCCGGCACUGCCUAGGUGGGCCGGGCGGUGCGAGGGUCGCCUUUCAGCCUUUACCUCUACCCACUGAAAUGGAGUAGGUCGGUGAGCGCCGAUCUGCUGGAGAAUCUCAUUAUCCCAUCGGCGCUCUGCCUGCUCCUGGCCUCCAAGCCUCUGAAGCCCCUCGGGUUUCAGCUGCCGGCUACCCUCGAGCCCGUGGUGCCCACGAGAGAGGCGACUUUACGUCAGCGGCCCUGGGCUGAGAUUUGAGAACGCGACCAAGUGGAGAAUGUUGGAGCCAGAUUUUAAAAUCCUUGUCUUCCUUCUGCGUGCUACUUGAUCUAAAUGAGAUACGGCAAAGUCACAGAACCUGUUUUUAUGUUUUUGCCUGAUUCAUACGGGCUUCUCCGGUGAAGAUGGGCCUGAAGUAACGCUUGGGUUGCUUCUGACGUUAUAACUCAUCCUGUAGCUGCAGCAACCGUGGUCCUUGCAACCUCAUAAAAAUGUUGCCAGCAUUGUUUCGAUAGUGCUGCUUAAUUCUUGGAAGGUUCUUCGGACUUCACACAUUCCAGCAGUAGCUCUCUCAGCUCCUGUCCUGCACAGCUUUGAAGUGCUGAUGAAGAACUGCAACCUAGAGAAGAUGGAAAUGACUUCUUCAUUUUGUGUUUGCUCUCUCCAUGGGGGUUUUGAGGGGGAGCCCUGCCCUCGCAAACUGCCAGGUGUAUACUGGACACACCAGUCAUGAAUCUAGAUUCACUGGGAGGGAAGAAUGAUUACCAGUUUUUGCCAUCUUGAGGGUUAACCAACAGGACACAGCCCUGGUGAUGGCUUUCUGAGGAUGACACGAUGGAGGCUUCUCCAAUAGCUCUAAAACUGCGGUGUGGAAAACAUUCGGCAGCCUCAAAGAGCGGUCUUGUUGACCCCAACUAUAUCAUUUUUCAUCAAAAUCAUUCUUGUAAAGAAUGACCAGGCAACACUCUUUGAAAAUUGGAGGCCAUUUGCAGCUGCUCUCUGUUGAGGAAAGUGAAUAAUAGGGUGCCCUCAAGGAAUUGCAAAGGUAUCACUCAACAGAAACUUUCGUGUCUGAAGAAAACUAGAUCAUUUUAUCAUGGUAGGCAUGCUGAUAUGUUUGCUUUAAUAAAAUGCCAUAUUUCUGCCUUUAAUCUCUUGUCAACCCGCUAUUAAAAAGCCCCAAAGUGCAUGUGUGCAGCGCAUGUAAACACUUGUGGUUUUGAGGUUACCACAGAACAUACUAAUAAAGCAUGUAAUUUGUGUUUUGUGCA
Molecule: long non-coding RNA, 1337 nt
Organism: Homo sapiens (human)
Lineage: Eukaryota; Metazoa; Chordata; Mammalia; Primates; Hominidae
Gene: HULC
Product: hepatocellular carcinoma up-regulated long non-coding RNA
Source: Ensembl